UUUUAUAAUAAUUAAUUUUUUAAAUAUUUAAUUAUUAGUACCUGCAAACUAAUUAUUAUCGUGUAUUUCUAAUAUGUAAUGUUAAUUUCUUAAAAUAUGUUGAUGAUAAGGAAAUUAAUAAAAUUUCAAAAUAAUUUCAUAUGCAAUGUUGAUAUUCUCAAAAAGGAAUUUUCUAACGUUCUUCUGGAUGUGUGUGCUUGGAUCUGCGAGCUUGUUCGCUUGCUAAUUGGAUAAAAGGAGCAAUACAUUCUGAGAAUGAGAGCCUAGCCUAGUUAAGAGAGCCAAAAAUGGAAAAGCAAGACUUGCGAGCUGGGCGUCGUUUGCUGAGAAGGGGGUUGCUGCUUGUCUUCAAGUAAGCUGUAUUCUUGUUCGUUUAUGUUGAUAAUGUAGCAGGCAAGCAAUGGCAAGGGUAAAGGCUGAUAGAAAUUGAGCGUCGAGUUCAAAAUUUAAAUACAAAUCUUACUCUUAAAUUACUUGUUUGUUGCAGAACGUUAUUCUUUCCAGUGAUGGCCACUUCGUCUCUUCUUUGGUUAAUUUGGUUUAUACUCUUCGAAUCGUCAAAUAAAAUUUCUUUGAUGGCCACUUCGUCUCUUCUUUGGUUAAUUUAGUUUAUACUCUUCGAAUCGUCGUAUAAAAUUUCCUUGACGUCUUUCGGUGACGAGCUUGAGAAAUUUUGAAUCUAAAUGCAAACGAU
RNAcentral lists this long non-coding RNA (694 nucleotides) under Manihot esculenta (cassava). Its description in RNAcentral is "long non-coding RNA (MESC_LNC003734)". The record is from RNAcentral. Lineage: Eukaryota; Viridiplantae; Streptophyta; Magnoliopsida; Malpighiales; Euphorbiaceae.